RNAcentral lists this unclassified non-coding RNA (204 nucleotides) under soil metagenome. RNAcentral's name for it is "partial contains small subunit ribosomal RNA, internal transcribed spacer 1, and 5.8S ribosomal RNA". The record is from RNAcentral.
UUUCCGUAGGUGAACCUGCGGAAGGAUCAUUACUGAGAGUGGUAGGCUCUGCCUGCGCAUCUCUUACCCGUGUCUUUUGCGUACUCUUUUUGUUUCCUUGGUGGGCAUGCCCGCCAAUAGGACUCUUUAAACCCCUUUGCAAUUGCAGUCAGCGUCUGAUAAACAUACUAGUUACAACUUUCAACAACGGAUCUCUUGGUUCUG